Mastomys coucha (southern multimammate mouse) is the source of this 844-nucleotide long non-coding RNA. RefSeq lists it as uncharacterized. NCBI's taxonomy places the organism in Eukaryota, Metazoa, Chordata, Mammalia, Rodentia, Muridae. The record is from RefSeq and is a predicted model, not a curated record. The transcript has 2 exons.
AAAUACCAUACAAAAGUAGAACGACGUCUUCAGCAUCCGCCUGUGAGGGCAUGUAUGCCACUUCAGUCUAGAACCAGCAGAAAACAGAAAAGUGCCUGUCAUACAAAGACUUUUGAAACAAUGCAAAGUUGUUUCUAUAAGACCCAAAAAUUCUCACCAACAUGGCUGCUUAACCAUGACUUGAACAAGGACAACACCGAUGUCAUUCAGGCAUGUACUGACAGGAGAAGAUUGCGCACCUGCAGUCUCUUAUGGAAACACUGGGUGCUUCCAUGUGCCCUGCAGUAUCUGUGAUAUUUGGAGUCCUGUAGUGAGGAGUACAGAAACGAACUGGGAACGGUGUAAGCACAGUGCCGAUGAGUGGGGGAGGUGUAUUGAUUAGAAGAGAAAAUGAACUACACUUCAGAGACUCAGAAGUGUCUAUCGCUCCAUCUCAGCAGCCAUCACUUCAUCACAUGCAUUUGAGAUGCUAUUGAUAAAAUUAUACCUUAACUCAGACAUGAACCAAGCUGAAACGAAAGACAGCCUGGGAGAAACUCAUGGUUAACACGGAACCAAAGGAGGCAGAUACGGCAGGGUGUGUGGUAUAAGCUUCGAAACUGGAUAAGAACCUAUACUGUAAUAGUCUGCUUGUCUCUGCAGGGUAGGAAACACUGGGAAUUGGGAGGAGUUCUGAGAAGACCUUCAAACAUGGCAGACCUGCUUUAUUUCUCUGUCUGAGUAUUGGUUACAUGGAGGUGCUGCAUCAUUCGUAGCAAUCCGUCAAAAUCUGUAUCUGUAAUUUUUUCAAUCUUCUAAAUAUAUGCUACUUUUUAAUAAAAAUAUAUUACAAUCUAAAACCAAA